UAAGGAAUAUUGGUCAAUGGACGCAAGUCUGAACCAGCCAUGCCGCGUGAAGGAUGAAGGUCCUCUGGAUUGUAAACUUCUUUUAUAUGGGACGAAACCUCUUUUUCUAGAGAGACUGACGGUACCAUAGGAAUAAGCACCGGCUAACUCCGUGCCAGCAGCCGCGGUAAUACGGAGGGUGCAAGCGUUAUCCGGAUUCACUGGGUUUAAAGGGUGCGUAGGAGGGCAGGUAAGUCAGUGGUGAAAUCUCCGAGCUUAACUUGGAAACUGCCGUUGAUACUAUCUGUCUUGAAUACCGUGGAGAUGAGCGGAAUAUGUCAUGUAGCGGUGAAAUGCUUAGAUAUGACAUAGAACACCAAUUGCGAAGGCAGCUCGUUACACGAAUAUUGACUCUGAGGCACGAAAGCGUGGGGAUCAAACAGG
This 423-nucleotide ribosomal RNA is filed under the name uncultured bacterium. Its description in RNAcentral is "bacterial SSU rRNA". It matches the Rfam family "Bacterial small subunit ribosomal RNA", at positions 355 to 776 of the family's 1533-position model. The record is from RNAcentral.